CCCCGCGUAGCUCAACGGCAGAGCGCUCGGCUGUAGCCCGAGAGGUUCCUGGUUCAAAUCCGGGCGCGGGGA
This 72-nucleotide transfer RNA is filed under the name Candidatus Woesearchaeota archaeon. RNAcentral describes it as "tRNA-Tyr". It matches the Rfam family "tRNA". Rfam says of the family: Transfer RNA (tRNA) molecules are approximately 80 nucleotides in length. Their secondary structure includes four short double-helical elements and three loops (D, anti-codon, and T loops). Lineage: Archaea; Nanobdellati; Candidatus Woesearchaeota. The record is from RNAcentral.